UUUUUUUUUUUAGCAGUCUUGUAUGGUCAUUGCUGCAGUGUCCUUGGUUUUGCUACAAUGCCUCUGUGUGAUAGAGGUUUGUGAGCUGUCUCUUCAGCCAGGCCAGUAGUCUGCCUGGUGAUGAAAUUGUUUUCUCGUUUGCUCAAAUUACUCAACUGUGUGGUAUGUUGGGUCAGUCACAUUCUCUUUGAAGUCGAGAAUAAAAAAUCCCAUUGAAAUUCAUGAGAAAAGGUAAGGCCAGCUGUAAAUCAAUACAAUGCUUUUUCGUUUUGGGCAUGAGGAGUGUGUAAUUGUGUGGUGUUCCAUUAUACGCUCUGUAAUCCGGUCUGUGCUGUUCUGAUCCAAGAUCUUUCACUAGCAAACAUGGCUUUAGUCAGCACUGAAAUAUGUGGGGAGAACAUGCACAGGUUUUCCAAAGUAUGGGGUAGGCAGAAGCAAGAUGGAUGCAACAGCAAACAGGACAGGCAUUUAUCUGCCCUUCGUGAUUCAGAGGAUGGGACCUGAACCGUGAUUUCCCACGUCCUCAUUGCCAUACAGCUGGGUCCUUUGUGUCAAUAUGAAUCUCAUUGGUUGCAGCUGCCCUACGUGGAACAAAUAAACUCUGAGUUCAUCAAAGCAAGGCCUUGGAGCUCAGUUACCACAGCUGAGGAUCUGAGUGCUGGGAGAGUCCCUUCUGCCCUGCUCUCACUGCUGUACACGCUUUGACAGCCAUGACUGACUCUAGGAGACAUCCUUGUCACAUCCACGUGGAGCAUGGAGUGCAAAUGGAGCUCAGAAACGAUUUUAUAUUCUUCUUCGUAAGUAUGAUCCUAGUAGAGGUGACUUCUCUGCGUGCCUGUGACGUUUGUAGCUGAGAAUAAAGUACCGCUAAUUGGAGGGGAGGGGAGGAAAAGUAGGACUUUCCUAGUAGGAAAAAUCUCGACACUUUAUCAGCUUUAACACAAACCAUUGAUCAUUUAAUUUCAAAUAAUUCCCUUCCAACUGCUUCAAGAUUUUCUUCUCCUGAGGAUCAGAUGCCUGUAACCAUAAGGAAGUGAGCUCUCUGAGAACGUUCUGCACCUCUGCAUCAGAUAUAGUCCAAUAUUACGCUGGGAAACAGACACUACGUACACACCCAUAAAUGGGACAGCACACAUACACUGGGAAUGUUCCAGCACCGGGUUCCUGUACCUACACUGGGAUUCGUCCAGACUGCAGCCUCCCGAAGAGCUGCAGUUGAUGUAAGAUAAGGAAUUGUUUGUGCUUCAAAAGAAAUGGCAGUGUUUGGAAAUUUUGCUUUUGUUCUGGACCAGAAUGAAGAACAAACUGUCAACACCUCCUUUGAAGUGAAAACGAAAAUUGAGACAAAACAUCAACAUGAGAAUCAGCACUUAAGAUUAACAAAACACUUUGGUUCACUUUGUGAGCUUUCUGUAGAUGUUAUGCACCACAAUUGAACUGACCUCGCCUUCGAUUGCUCCCAAGCCUUCCAGAUCUGUUAAAGGUCAUUUCCUCAGAGGAGGAGGGACAUUACUUGAAGUGGCUAUGAGGUACUUUAAAUGGAAAAAAAGAAAUCUCAAUUUUGAGUGGUUCAGAAAUGCACAACUUUUUAGUGUCAUUUUAUUGUAUCAUGCUUGAGUUCCUGCAGCUAUUGAAAGCAAAAAAACAUCCAAACCUUGACCUUCUCUUGUAAAUCCAUUGAUGCACAUUGAAACAUAAUAUUUUCAGAAGAUUGGAGUCUCGAAGCUUGGCCUUGAGCAUAGGAAAAUGAGAACAAUCCUGUUUUGCUCUUAUUCUGCUGCAUUGCAUGUGCUUGUAUUCAGUUGCUACAGAUUCUUUCAAAGCAUGCUAAUUAAUUUUUGUUCAAACUGAGUUAAAAUACCUUACAAAUUUCUGUCACAUAUCAGUGAAUGAAAUUACUUUAAGGCUUAGGUUAGGCCAGGGCUCUCUCAGUACCUAAUCUAAACUUCAUUACUGAAAUAAACCUAUCUGCUGGUCAUACACCUUGCAUCGUUGUAUUCAGCAUUAGGGCUAUUGAUUUGUGCCCAGGGCUUUGGUACUAUGUAAUUCAGUGGAAAUUUUCAUUAGUGUUUUAGUCCUAAAGCUCAAAAAUCAGUUGUUUGUUUUUGUUGUUGUUGUGAAGACCUUCCAGGGCAGUGCAAUAAACUAGCACUGCUGAGCCCUGACUGCUGCUGAGUGCAGAAAUCCUCCAUUCCUCCCCUUCUCUACAUCCUACUGCUGUUUCCCCUGCACAGGCAUGAGAGCUGCUGGUAGUGGUGAGAGCUAACCUCGCAGAAGGAAUCAUUUUCAACUGGAUUGAUACAGAGGAAGGAACAGGACAUACAGGAAGGCAGGCCAUUUUUGGAUAGUGCAAUGUUAAUCUCUUGCAGAUCCAUCAGAACUGGCAAUAUUAGAGUUUCUGCCUUUUUGUGUGUGUCUGCAAAGUGUGAUGUGAUUGUGUUGCUGUCACUGGGUUUCCAGUUUGUUCUAAUUUCUGCUGAUAUUUCAGGAAGAAGAGAAUGUAGAAGUAUAUUAUGCUAUAUAACUUGUAUGUUACAUCUGUAUCUUCCUUCAGUGCUGACAAAUAUGAACGUAAUUCUUAUCAAAUCAAUGCUUGACCUGAACUUCUCAAGUGUAAGAUCAAGUGAAAAAAGAAGAUUUGUCCAAUUACAUCAGGAAGAACUGGAUUCAUCUUGUUCAGAUACUGGACCUUGUCCUGCUCUCUCUGAAAGUUCUCAAAAAUUGUUUUGCAGAAGUUUAAAAGAAAUCUAAAAUGCAAAUCUAAAAUAGUCUUUAUGUAAACCCAAUGCAAGAAAAGAAAAUCUGCAAUGGAAAACAAUUUCUCAUGCUUUUGUUACAUGUUUAAAAAUGCCUCUUUUUCUUUCCUAACAUGAUGAGUUUUUUUCUUUAUUGUUUCUCAGUAAAUACUCCACAAGAAGCAUUGGGGAUUUAAACAGAAAGAUUUGUGUAUGCCUUUAUUACAAGGUGUGCCAAAUACCUUCCAAGGAAGGGUAAUUAUCACUUCUGUUUUGUUAACAAAGACACUCGGGUAUGAUUGCCUAACUUACUUCCUUGAGAUCACACGACAUACCAAUGAUGAAACUCCAUACAAGCUUUUUUGUAUUCUAGGAUUAUACUUAAAUGUUCACCCCUUGAAAAUGGAAAGACAAAUUGCUGUGAAUUGAAAUAUUUUUUCAGUUAGCUGAGGGGAUGUGGGUUUUGAAACAUGCAAGGCUCCCCUAACCUCAGCUUCAUCCCAAAAUGCAUUGUGAAAAAAAAAGAACAAAACCAAAAAAAACAACUGAUUUCAAUGAAAAUAUCUUUCCUAUAGAAAACUAAAAGCUUUUGGAAGUAUAUACUUUGAAAUUAUUAUUUUUUUCAGUAGAAGGAGGAGAAGAGAUAGGGCUGGAAAAGACGGGGAGUGUGGAUUUUCUGUCUGUUUUCUAUGAGCUGGCCAAGGGCACCUUUAAAAACAAUGAAAGAUUGCUGUCUCCUUGAAAUACUUUUUCUGUGUGAAGGGAAAGUUCCUGUGGAUUUUUGUAAACACUCUUUAUCAAUCAGUUUGAAAAAGAGGACUUUAAAAAAAAAAAAUGAAAGCAGACACUUUCUGGUUUGGCAAUGAAUGCAAGGAUUCGAAGACAUAAUGUACUGUAAAACUGAAACUUUAAUGUAUGUUUAUGCCUCUCUAGGCUUGUUUUGGCUGGUGGGAUUGAGAGUAUGUGACUACCUCCAAGAACUAUUGCGAAGAGCGAGUUAUGCAGUGGAGGUGAGCUCAUGUGGUGUCCAGGGGGAAACACAGCUGGAGCAUGGAAGCUUGGUCAGAGCAAUUGCAUUCUAGGAAAGCUUUUUCCGUGUUGAAGAGAUUUUCCGCUUGUUCACCCUGUGGAGUAUUGACUGAUGUUUUGAGGGAGAACGUUCCUACUGCUAUGGGGAGCGUAUUAUCAUCUGCCUAGUUUCAGCGGAGAGAUUUCUAAUGCCAGAAAGGCAAGAGUACCGCAGGGAGCCAUGGCAGAGCUGAACGGGAACAGGAGCUGAAGGAGCUCACACAAGUCAUAUCUUUCUCCCUCUAGUUAUUUGCUAAGCAGUUACUGAUGCUGCCUGGGGAUAGGCAACGCAAGACACGUACAGGUAAGUAAAAGUGCCGGGUCCUACAUGUUGCUGGGACUUUUCAUGGAGUUGCGUCCAGCAGGAAAUACCAUUCACCGUUCUUUAAAAGGUGACAGUUGAUCCGUGGCACUGAACAGACAGUUCCCUCACUCAGCGCCCCAAAGCAGCACUUUGGGAAGUACCCAGUUACGGCAUGUUGGUCAGAGAGAGUCCUCAACAUAUGAAAUUUGCCGCAGUUUUCCCUCCUCCUUUCGCGCAGGGGCCGGCGCUGAACACCCACCCCCAGCGCUCCCUGCCCGCCGUGAGGCGAGGCGCGGAACCGCCCCUUCCCGCCGCGGGCCGCCUCCCUCAG
Numida meleagris (helmeted guineafowl) is the source of this 4438-nucleotide long non-coding RNA. RefSeq lists it as uncharacterized. NCBI's taxonomy places the organism in Eukaryota, Metazoa, Chordata, Aves, Galliformes, Numididae. The record is from RefSeq and is a predicted model, not a curated record. The transcript has 4 exons.